AGCGAACGCUGGCGGCAGGCUUAACACAUGCAAGUCGAGCGGGCGUAGCAAUACGUCAGCGGCAGACGGGUGAGUAACGCGUGGGAACGUACCUUUUGGUUCGGAACAACCCGGGGAAACUUGGGCUAAUACCGGAUAAGCCCUUACGGGGAAAGAUUUAUCGCCAAAAGAUCGGCCCGCGUCUGAUUAGCUUGUUGGUGAGGUAACGGCUCACCAAGGCGACGAUCAGUAGCUGGUCUGAGAGGAUAAUCAGCCACAUUGGGACUGAGACACGGCCCAAACUCCUACGGGAGGCAGCAGUGGGGGAAUAUUGGACAAUGGGCGCAAGCCUGAUCCAGCCAUGCCGCGUGAGUGAUGAAGGCCCUAGGGUUGUAAAGCUCUUUUGUGCGGGAAGAUAAUGACUGUACCGCAAGAAUAAGCCCGCUAACUUCGUGCCAGCAGCCGCAGUAAC
Molecule: ribosomal RNA, 451 nt
Filed under: uncultured bacterium
Lineage: Bacteria
Description: bacterial SSU rRNA
Rfam family: Bacterial small subunit ribosomal RNA
Source: RNAcentral